Molecule: non-coding RNA, 807 nt
Organism: Taeniopygia guttata (zebra finch)
Lineage: Eukaryota; Metazoa; Chordata; Aves; Passeriformes; Estrildidae
Source: RefSeq, a predicted model, not a curated record
CUGUUUUCGGCUGCUCUGAGAGCAGCAAUGAGUUCAGACCCCGAGGCCAAUCUCCACACUUCCUCCUUAGGUUUUCUCUUUUGGCUACAAAUUUCAAGCCCUGCCACAGGAGUUUAUGAACCUCUGCUCACUGCGAAAGAUUAGAUUCCCACGCUAAAACUCGGGGAAGGGGCAGAAGAUCACUGGAAAGGAUGGAUUUUUGGGAAAACCUGCAUCUGCUCCUGUAUUGAGACCAGCAGGCUGGGUCCAGGUGCCUUCACAAGGAAUGGCCACCAAUCCCUGUCUGACCCAUGAGCUUGUUUUGGCAGAAAUCUGUCCAAGCUUGAGCUGUGAGGAUGUGUCAGGCACCAAGUGUCCCAUGGCACAGGUAGCAAUGUCCCCAGGAAUCCUCUUGCAGCCAGGGAGAGCCUUUGGCAGGAAAAUGGCCCAAAAGCCUUCUGCAGGUGAUUUUCCUGGCAGCGUGUGGCUCUCCCUUUCUGGAACUUUCAGGCUCAGAGACAACAGGAAAAUCACCGCUGAGUUCACCCACUGACCAGUUUAAGGCGUUUCAAUGUGCUGAAACACUUGCCCAAAUUGUGGAACUUUGUUGUCUGUGAUCCAACUUCCCAGCAGCGCUGCCACCCACCCGCUCUGCACUGCAAACCUGCUCAUCUCUCCAGAGCCAGGCUGAGAAAGGGAUGAGAGUGGUGGCUGCUCUGCCACCGGCGGGUACAACUGAGCAUUCCUUAGAACAAGAAUGAGGGGGAGAGGAAAGGGUGCCCUGUGCAAAUACCAUCUGCAUUCAGAUUCAAAUAAAAUUAUAGCAAA